Long non-coding RNA from Neofelis nebulosa (Clouded leopard), 558 nucleotides. RefSeq lists it as uncharacterized. Lineage: Eukaryota; Metazoa; Chordata; Mammalia; Carnivora; Felidae. The transcript has 3 exons. The record is from RefSeq and is a predicted model, not a curated record.
CGAUGCCGGGCCCUGCACCCCUGGGGAGUGGGGGACAGGGGAGAGAGAGCGAGCCCAGCGCCGGCCUGGAAGGGGGUCUCGCCUCGCGGUGCCUCCGCAGGCGCCGGACCCUCCCGCUGGAAGGCCGCGCGGCCCGGUCUGGUCCGCCCGCGGGGCAGGCGCCGGACGCAACUUGGAGAGCACCAGACGCACACCCGGCUGCCGCUUCUCCGGGAGCUGCACAUUCAUGAAUCUCGAAAGUUCCUGGCUGAGGGGAGAAAAAUCGCAAGGAUCAGUAUAUGGAGUUGGCGUAGGAUUUUCUAGGACUUUCUUCUAUUAGCCGCAGCGGACAGUUUUCCGGCUCCAGAUGUUCCCCUCCACGCGAACGUCCCCCUUGGUCCCCACCCGCAGAGCCCUCAGCUCCCGCCUAAACCAAGGGAGGCGCGGGACCCGCAGCCUCGAGGGCCGGGUAGGUUUUACUUCAGCCACGAGGAGAGAGACACGUGACAAGCCUCCGCGCCACCCCCCCACCCCCCCACUCGCCGCCGUCCCGUUCCCGCCGUCGCUCCCCCCGCCAGU